UUUUAUAACUUGUCAUGGGCGAAGCCUGAGCAGCCCUGCCGCGUGAGUGAUGAAGGUCCUAGGACUGUAAAGCUCCCUCGCCCGUGACGAUGAUGACGGUAACGGGAGAAGAACCCCGGCUAACUCUCGUGCCAGCAGCCGCGGUAAUACGAAGGGGGCUAGCGCUGUUCGGACUACCUGGGCGUAAAGCGCGCGUAGGCGGCUCCUGCAAGCCAGAGGUGAAAUGCCUUGAGCUUUAACUCUGGGAAUUGCCUUUUGGGAAUUGCGAGGCUUUCGAGGACUGGAGAGGUGAGUUGGAAUCUCCCAGUGGUAGAGGUUGAAAACUCGUAGAAUAUUUGGGAAGAACACCGGUUGGCGAAGGCGGCUUCACUUGGCCAGUUUUCUGACGCUUCAAGCCGCGAAAGCGUGGGGGUUCAAACAGGACUAGAUACCCUUGGUAGUCCACGCCUGUAAACAAUGAGUGCUAGGCGUCGGCACGUUUGCUUUUCGUUGCCGCACCUAACGCGUGAAGCAUUCCGCCUGGGGAUUACGGUCGCAGU
Molecule: ribosomal RNA, 539 nt
Filed under: uncultured bacterium
Lineage: Bacteria
Description: bacterial SSU rRNA
Rfam family: Bacterial small subunit ribosomal RNA
Source: RNAcentral